Molecule: transfer RNA, 66 nt
Filed under: Histrio histrio (sargassumfish)
Lineage: Eukaryota; Metazoa; Chordata; Actinopteri; Lophiiformes; Antennariidae
Description: tRNA-Cys
Source: RNAcentral
AGCUCUGGGGUGUUAACAUGCCAGAUUGCAAAUCUGGAGAAGCAGGCUACCCACCUGCCAGAGCUU